Molecule: unclassified non-coding RNA, 253 nt
Filed under: uncultured Pirellulaceae bacterium
Lineage: Bacteria; Pseudomonadati; Planctomycetota; Planctomycetia; Pirellulales; Pirellulaceae
Description: contains 16S-23S intergenic spacer region
Rfam family: Bacterial small subunit ribosomal RNA
Source: RNAcentral
GACGAACUGCGCAAACGUUAUUCGGAAUUACUGGGCUUAAAGAGUCCGUAGGCGGCCUGUUAGGUGGGGUGUGAAAUCCCUCGGCUCAACCGAGGAAUUGCGCUCCAAACCGGCAGGCUUGAGGAAGGUAGAGGUGAGCGGAACUGAUGGUGGAGCGGUGAAAUGCGUUGAUAUCAUCAGGAACACCGGAGGCGAAGGCGGCUCACUGGGCCUUUUCUGACGCUGAGGGACGAAAGCUAGGGUAGCGAACGGG